AUGCUUCGGCAGCACAUAUGCUAAAAUCGGAAUGAUACAGAGAAGAUUAACAUGGCCCCUACACAAGGAUGAUACACAAAUUCGUGAAGCAUUCCAUAUUUUU
This is a small nuclear RNA of Sapajus apella (tufted capuchin), 103 nucleotides long. The record is from RefSeq and is a predicted model, not a curated record. NCBI's taxonomy places the organism in Eukaryota, Metazoa, Chordata, Mammalia, Primates, Cebidae.